This 202-nucleotide long non-coding RNA is filed under the name Lathyrus oleraceus (garden pea). Its description in RNAcentral is "Pisum sativum (pea) long non-coding RNA (PSAT_LNC031237)". Lineage: Eukaryota; Viridiplantae; Streptophyta; Magnoliopsida; Fabales; Fabaceae. The record is from RNAcentral.
CGGUUUUUAGCUUCUCGGACCCUAAAUCAAAGAAAGUAAACCCUAACCACAAAUAACUUGUGUGACAUUAAUAACUCCAAAAGGGUCUCCACUGAAUAGAUGGGUCUCAAGCCAACUUGUUAAGGACUACUCCACACAAGUUGAACAUGACUAUAUCAUCCUUCUAUUAAUUGCACUAAAGUUCGGGCUAGAACUUAUCUCA